Neltuma alba is the source of this 247-nucleotide long non-coding RNA. RefSeq lists it as uncharacterized. NCBI's taxonomy places the organism in Eukaryota, Viridiplantae, Streptophyta, Magnoliopsida, Fabales, Fabaceae. The record is from RefSeq and is a predicted model, not a curated record. The transcript has 2 exons.
UAAAUAUAUUCAUUUCAUGCUUAUGGAGAUGUUGUCCCUAUAGGCGGAUCUGUCUUUACGGCUAUGAUCUAUCCGGUUUUGCUUUUCUUUUUCACAUUUGUCCUUUUAAAUAAUUACUGGCCACCUGCCAAUGCUCGAUAAAACCUAUCCCUGCAGUAGACGGGUCUUCCAUCAGCGGCCUCAGCAGCAGCUGCUGCUAGAUCAUCAUCAGCUAUCACCUCUACUGGCAGUUUCAGCAACUCCUCUU